UUUCAAAUGACAACAAGCAGGACCCAAUGGUGGAUCCCUCCACAGCAGGAAUAGCAAGAGUCGGCAGAUCUAGGACAGGGGCAUGACUAAGGGUGUGUGGGGCAUGUGGAAUGUAUUAGGUGACACCCUAAGAGGGAGUGACACCAAUGCUUCCCAAACAUCUGCCUUUGGAAGAAAUGGCUAUGGAGUUCAUCUGUGUCCCUUUAAAAUGAUGAAGAGAUGGUGGGGUGAGGCUCAGAGAAAGGAGAGGUCCCAGAUCAAAGGCCUUGUUGAGGUAUGGAGCAGCAUUGAAAAUGUUCAGAUGUGGCAGAGAAGCUAAGACACUCACUGUUCUUAACCAGGAAUUGGUUGCAGCUGUGGCUCCAGACAGCAGGCCUUUCCUGGGGCUGCUCCCACAAUUUGGAACUCCCUCCCUCAGAAAGAUAGCGUGGCUCCUCCUUUCUUUUCCUUUCAGUGACAGAUUAAGACCCUUCUUUUCCAGCAAGUUUUUGAAAACUGAUUUUGAUAAAAAUGGUUUUUAUGUUGCUGUACUGUUUAAAUGAUUUAAA
Molecule: long non-coding RNA, 548 nt
Organism: Sceloporus undulatus (fence lizard)
Lineage: Eukaryota; Metazoa; Chordata; Lepidosauria; Squamata; Phrynosomatidae
Exons: 4
Source: RefSeq, a predicted model, not a curated record